Lycium barbarum (goji berry) is the source of this 1090-nucleotide long non-coding RNA. RefSeq lists it as uncharacterized. The transcript has 2 exons. The record is from RefSeq and is a predicted model, not a curated record. Lineage: Eukaryota; Viridiplantae; Streptophyta; Magnoliopsida; Solanales; Solanaceae.
GUUAUUAAUCCAUCACAAGCUAACAACUCUGAUUCUGAAGUAACAUUACUAUCAACAUAAGCAAAGAAUUCAUAGUGAAGCCAAAACAAAGCAUUUUAAAAAUGAGAGCGAUGCACAAUACCAAAAAUAUUUUUACAGUUCCGAUAAUAUCACAGAGAAGACUUUUAACAGAUCCAGCAAACCCGAGUCAGAACUCCAAAAUCACACAAAAAAUUUCAGAAAACUUUCAAAAGGAUGAAAGAUUGUGGCCUCGACUGAUUGAAAGUGUGAAGGGAAAGUUAAGCCUGUAGGGGGCAAAGAUUCUCAAAGUGAAAAGAAUAAAGAAUGCUUUUGAGAAAAAUUUCAGUGUUAGGCCCGAAGAAAAACUUGUAAAGGCAGCUCACUGUAAUUUAUAAACAACAGAAGGUCCUAUGGCAGGAGUUCUCUUCAUUUUCCACAGAUAGGGCUGCUUUUUUCAGUCACAAACCAAUUAAGAUUUCUUCUUCCAGCGGCGAGAUUAUUAAAUUCCACUACAAGGUAGGAUUUACAGCAUACUGCUCCUAUUUCUGUAUAUCUAAAGCAAUUGUCUUAAGAUAACUAUUUUUUUUUUUCAACUGGUACUGAUAUCGAUUCCACUGAGAAAAAUGAAGAAAGCCAUGGAGAGUAAGAUUUUGAAGAAACCAUUGCACAAGUACAUUCAAGUAGUAACAAAGGAUAAUUUUUAUUUCUGGUUCUUAGGAUUCUUGAAUCACAAGAGUAUCUUGAAAUGUCUUCAGGAGGCGAUUUAUGAGACUCAAGGCCACUAUACUCUCUGAUAAAGCUGGGAAUUUUGCUAUACACAUUGGUUUCAUAUAUACAAAUCAUAGUUGAUUCUGAAUGUGAUACACCUGCUCUCACUAUAGAUGGACAAGCUUGUACAUUAAUUUUUUGUUGUUACUAUAGAUGGACAAGCUUGUACAUUAAUUUUUUGUUGUUAGACUAUAGUACAUAUCUGCAUGUACUUUCUAGAUGAGCUUAGUCAUAGUCUAAGUUCUUUUGCUUGUCAAGCAAGAACCAGUGUAUUCAGAUUUUGUUCAUAGAUACAGGCACACUCCAGGCCUUUCGGCUAAAA